Molecule: unclassified non-coding RNA, 1238 nt
Filed under: Hevea brasiliensis (rubber tree)
Lineage: Eukaryota; Viridiplantae; Streptophyta; Magnoliopsida; Malpighiales; Euphorbiaceae
Source: RNAcentral
AAUGAAUUACUGACAGGUCUGAUCUCAAUGUACAAUACAAUAAUAUACUUGUAAUUUGCAAAUACACAAUGACCCAAUCCCUAAUCACAUAACUUGUAUCUCCCACGUUGAACACUACACAUCAUCAACCUACAUCUGAAAUCCCAUCAAUAUAUGCAUUUUUUUUAUAUCCAAACUUGCAUAUAUAUAUAUAUAUAUAUCAGCCUGUUCAAGAUAAAGCAAACAGUUUAUGUAUUAUUCAAUUGGAGGCCUUGUAGGGCGCCUUCCUCUAGCAAUACUUUGAAUUAAGGCUUGUCCGACGCCUUCCCCAAGCCCCUCGAUGAGCCCUCCGAUGAAUUCGAUGAUUACCUGAGAGGCAAGCCGAGCUGCAGUUCCCAACAUGCUGGACUUCUCAACGCCCUUAAUGCCGUUGGCUUGAAGGCCAUUGACCAUGUUCUUUGCACAAACUGCGUGCAGAUGGUACUCACAAACCGUGCAACGAUACACUCGGCCUGAUCUCUUGGUCCUAUUGCAUUCUCCGCAUACAAAACCAGGUUCCCCAUUUGGAAAACUCAUGGUCAUGGCAGCUGGGAGGAUUUUUAGUGGGUGUGGAUGCACUGAAAUUUUAAUUUCGUAGGACAGCAUAGCACAGCAAGGAUGCAUCUGAUAACUACAGGCGUUGCAUCUGAAAGUGUAACCUUUUGCAGCCUUCCCACAAACGUCACACUUUGAUUUUAAAAUUCCACCUUUAACUGCUUUUGAAGAGAAUAAGAGUUGGUGAUGCAUGUGGAGAGGAUGGGCCUUGAGUUCUCGAGGAACCAAACCGCAGAACUCAUGUAACUGAAAAUCGCAUUGUAGGCAAGUGAACCUCGUGCCUGAGCCGUAUUCCUUGCAGCCUGCGCAGGUGAAGAGUUCGGGCAUGUCAACCUUAUACAAGCCAUGUUGGUGGUGAAGGGAAAGAAAUACUUCUUCUCCCAGGCCUAGGUGAGGAGAUGUUGGCAAUUCAAGCAUAGGACUUUUGGGAAGAUAUGCUUGUAGUUGAGGAGGAGGGUUUGGGAAUUGCAUUGAAGGAGAAUUUUUCAGGGGAAAUGAAGUCGUCUUCUUCAAUGGCCUGUUGUUCAUGAUGGCUUGGCUUGUGAGAAUGGCUAGCUAUGUGGAUUAGACUUGUUUCUAAUUGCACCACAGAAGGAGAAUAUUUAUUUUGCUGGAAAGUUGGGCACCAUCAACCAUGUGCAGGGCAUGAAGAAAAAGGAUGAUGC